This is a long non-coding RNA of Bombus terrestris (buff-tailed bumblebee), 1737 nucleotides long. RefSeq lists it as uncharacterized. The transcript is spliced from 2 exons. The record is from RefSeq and is a predicted model, not a curated record. NCBI's taxonomy places the organism in Eukaryota, Metazoa, Arthropoda, Insecta, Hymenoptera, Apidae.
GGAUUUACGAGCGUAUGCAUACGCGAUGCGCUUCAAAUUUCCCCCUCUCACGCUCCCUUCCUCUCGACGGAGACAUCUCUGUCGCCCUCUCUCUCUCUCUCUCUCUCUCUUUCUCUCGUUCCUCUGAUCCGUUUCUCGCUUUUCCCUUCCUUUUUUACCCUUGCUGCCUUAACUUUACGACGUGAAUUUUAUCGAGUCAGAGGCUGUAAAGUUGCAAUCAGUCGAAGCGUCGAACAUUCCGCGGCGUAUGUUCUGUUCGCGCGUUGUUUCUAUCGCGUGCGUAGAUGGCGCAGCAUCGAUGAGACGUCGCUGUGAGGAAAUGGUGAAAUACGAAACGUUCCUGAAAGGACUGGCAAUAGUUCGACGACAACUUCCAUUCACGAUGGAAAGCUUCCUGAAAUGAAAGACUUCUACCAUUCUUCGCCUUCGUCGAGCGAUCGUAACUCUUAUGGCAUUUUUGAAAAGAUCCCACUUACGCGGAAAGCUCUCCGACUGCAUCGUCUCUGCUCCCUCCGCGGCGGUGCGCAAAUUUCAAAUAAAAUCAAAUCUCCGACUUUCUCGGGGAGAGCCGCCUCAAGCCGGCAGUUCCUACCACGAUUUGCAUAUUCCUUGCGUACGAAUUCGUAGCGAAUCACGCAAACGCCGGCGACGGAACGUUACAACGACACCCUCGAUUUGCAACCCCGAAGAAACUUUACGAAGAAUCGGGAAAGAAGCCUUGUUAAGUUCGAGAGAUACUAGUAGCAAUGAUAAUCUGAAUUUGUUGUAUGUAUUUGUUAUAUAUUUAUUUAUUCAUAGAAACAGAUACAGAAGAAUACCGAUGAAAGUACACGCAGUAUUCUAAACUAAUUAUUGUACGUAUAAUGUUCCCGUAUAGUAUGUUAUACGUCUGUCUAAGUGUAUAACGAGGAAGAUUGUAAGCUUCAGGCAGAAUCGGUAAUAACUAUUACACGCUUCACUUAAUUAUGUAAUUAAUUAAAUAUAAGACAGGGUGGAAGAAGAAACAUAAAAGAACGCAGCAGUAGUUGGAGGAAUUAAAAUAGUUAAGAUGAUGGAAGAAGAUGACUAAAGAAACCGUGUUCUUCAAAACAAAAAACUUGAUAUAUUACUAAUGGUAGGUGUAAGAAUAUCUAAACGGAAUUGAAAAGAGGUCCUACAUCCUUAUUAAUACUGCGAAUUAUUCUUCUCAUACGAACUGAAUUAUUAAGCAUUUAAUGAAUGUAAACAUCGUCGAUAAUUAAAAUUGCAAAGAUAAGAGUUUAGAAGAAGAAUUAGAAAAAUUAGCAGAAAUUAUCCGAUAGCUUUUUCCAAAGCGGGUUUCAUAAAAUUCCGUUUUUCCAAAUCUAAACUUUCGUUACAUACAAUUAUGAAACAUAACCUCGAUGAAACUUAAACGUACUUGAAGAUUAACCGAAACUUGUUAUAAAGUCAUAAUUUUCGUUCUUGGGAAAGACAAUCGAUGAGGAUCGAGAGGGUAAAGACUGCAGUAACGAACGGAGUUAGAUCGGCUGAGCCAAUCCAACGCAAACGAACAAACUCAAACCAUCGACGGUCGGCUAGCAUAGUAAUACGAAUGCCCUUCGUCAGAAUUCGUGCAAUUCCAAGCUUGCCGAUGAAUUCGUCGCCAGCCGUGCGAUUUCUCUUUGUGAAAGGGCAACGAGAACGACCGAAUAAGCCGGAAUUUUAAGCUAUGAAACUUUCGCAAUUAUCGAGUGUUCGGUAUCCUGAAAAAGUUAG